Long non-coding RNA from Anguilla anguilla (European eel), 645 nucleotides. RefSeq lists it as uncharacterized. The record is from RefSeq and is a predicted model, not a curated record. Lineage: Eukaryota; Metazoa; Chordata; Actinopteri; Anguilliformes; Anguillidae. The transcript is spliced from 2 exons.
CCGCUGCCGCCCUUGUCUGUUUGCACUUUGGAUCCCCGGCUGCUAGCGCGGCUCGAAACGAUGUGAAGGGAACGGCACCUGUUUUCGACGGAGAGAGAGCCCCCUCAGCAGACUGCGGAAGGACUCGCUGCCUACUGGAUGGACAGCACACUGCUGGAACUUCAAGAAGGAGAAACUUGGAAAAGGGAAAAAUGUUGGGAGGACACUUGACUAUGGAAGUUGGACGGCAUAGUCUCUACUUUUCCACCCUGAUACCCCCUUCUCUAUCAUGACCCCCCCCCCCCCCUUCUCUACCCUGAUACCCAUUCCCAUGAUAUUCAUAAUUCAUAAUUAAUUAAUAAAUAAAUAAAUAAAAUAGCAUCUCUACCUUCUAAUUCUAGAGACGAUAGAUUGCCUAUUGCUGGAUGUCAUGGCCCAGCCAUUACACUUUUCAUUAAUCGCUGCUCGGGGUGUUGAGGAUUUCCGAAUCCAGGCCUUCUCUCCUUUUGCACUCACUGUAAGUCACCUCAAAUGUAAAUGUAAGCAGCGAAAAGCAUCACACCGACAAAACAGAGGAACAACAGGUCCCGAAGGGGAUGCCUCCUUUAAAGCUAGGUCUGCCUCUCUCUCUGCCUCUCCCAAAAAAAAAACAAAAAAAAAACAAAA